CGGUGGUGAUCAGAUCAGUGUUGUUGCUGCUGAGUCUCAACAGCAGCAGCAGUAUCGACCGCCCCCACUGCGUCCGGAGGUUUUCAGCAAGGAAGAGAUUCAGUCUUUUAACAGCUCCAGCACUAGCUCGGUAAUUCGCCGUUCCCCUUCGUGUAUAAUAUUUAAGUUAUGGGUUAUUAAUUUCAUGAAGCAAUUUUAAACGCUAUGAAUUUACGAAUUAAAAUUUAAAUAAUUUUUUUUAAUAUUUAAUAGUGAUAAUUAGAUUAUUUAGGAUUUAUGAUAUGUUUUUUUACUUACCAAUAGUAUUAAUCAAUUGUAUUGAUCAUAAUCAAAUAAUCAAAUCGUCAUUCGAGACUUACUAGAUAGACUUAUAAAGAAAAAUUAUUUAAAUAAAAUACUUUCAUAUAGUUCAGUGACUAUUUUAUAAUUUUUUAAAAUUAAGUGAUCAAAACAUAAAUUUAUUAAUAGUUUAAUGACCAUUAAGUAUAGGUUGCCUUAAUAUUUAUAAUUAAAAUUAGUCAUUUAAAUUCUUUUUUAAGAAAGAAAAUACGAAUAAACGUGUUAAAGAAGUCAUUAUUGAUAAAGAUAAAAGUAUUGGUCUUUGAGUAUUUAGAUUCGAAUCUUAUCAUACAUAAUUACGAUGUGAUGAAUCUUUAAUUUCAUCACAUGAAUAUCUAUUUUUUCGUGGGCUAUAUUUUGUAAUAAUUUGAUUUUCACAUUAUAUUGUGAGAGUUUAUUUUAUUUAUGAUAGUAAAGACUUAAAACAAACAAAUUUUAAUAUUGUUAGCAAAUGUUGAGUUCUUCAAACUUUCUAAUUCUAUACAAAUUACCAUGUGUGCGAAAUGGAAAAUUAUUCUUUAGACAAAAAAUUAUAAUUUCACUUAAAAUGUUAGAAUUUUAAUUUAAUUAUUUUAAAAAUUAUAAAAAUAUAAUGGUGAAAUUGUAUUUUAAUUUUCGUAAAAAAAUAUAAUUUAAUCUUGAUCCCUUUAAAAAACUUAUGGCUUUUGUCUCUACAUUUUUCAAUUUAAAUUUAUUCUAAUUUAAAUCAUAACACGUGUGGGUUCUAUGUAAAUUUAUUUUAAUUCAAGUUCAGCUAUAUUUUAAUUAUCAAUUUUAUUAAUUUGUGUAUAAUAAUAACCUGAUCCUACUCGUAAUUAAAUAUUCAUAUAACUACGGAUGUAGUGAUUAUAUUUGUAAUUUUCAUUGAUUUUUAAAUUAUUUUUUAUUGUUCGGAUUUAGUUUAGAGAUGUUGGAGUAAGUGAGAAGAAAGGAAGGAAUGAUAAAAUAAAAGAGAAAUUAACGGGUAAAAAUUAUGAGGAGGAGGAGCAAUUUCAUACCACAACUAACGCUGCCAAAACCUCAAUCGCAACCACUACGGCGGCACCGCCUCGACAGCCAUACGUUGAGCAAGAGGGGAUGUGUUUGAGGGAGAAGAUAAAGGCGAAAUU
Molecule: long non-coding RNA, 1448 nt
Filed under: Gossypium barbadense (sea-island cotton)
Lineage: Eukaryota; Viridiplantae; Streptophyta; Magnoliopsida; Malvales; Malvaceae
Description: long non-coding RNA (GBAR_LNC002772)
Source: RNAcentral